CACUCAAAGGGACACUAGGCGCUGCUGCUGUUGAUGGUGGCGGUGUAGUCCUCUGCGGCGUGGACCGUGCCAUCUUACCCCUCCUGGAAUGGAGGGAGGGGGGGGGGUUGAGGAUGCGAGGAUGUGAUUUUAAGAAGCGGAGAAAAUCAAUGGACGAGGCCGUGGAGACGUCACGACACGCGCCGCUCGCGGAGGCUCUCAUCAUCUGGGACGCCAGCGGAGGGACCACCGGAUCCUCAACGACAAAAAGCGUCAUAGUCGAAGUUGGAUUGAUGCCUCCACCUCAUAUAGGAUGUUUUGGACACUUUUUCUGGACUUUGAAAGCUAUUAAAAGUGGGGAAAAACACCAAGACGUGGACCGACCGACCUCGUUCUGAUGGACAGGAGACUGGAUGCAUGAUGUGAAAUGCUUUUAUGAUUAUGUUACAUAUCAUUCAAAUGAUUUGUAUUCGGUAGCUAUGCACUUCUGUUGGGACUCAUUAGAAUAAGAGUGUAUUUGUAGAAUUGAAGAGAACGAGACAUAUGUUAGUUAAAAAAGUUUCAUUUGUACAACGCUGGUGAUUUCAUGAUUUGGUUUGAUUUGACUUGAACAAUGAAAUGUUUGACAAUCUGCAACUGCACAACGUAUCUUCUGUUUCGUACAGUAUUUGGUUCUCAUGAAUUUGCACACGGGGCAGAAUGGAGUGCUCAAAAUCACCAUGGAAUGCUUAUUACUUAUGCAGAAAGAAAAGAACAUGUAGGUUUUGCAAUGUGAGUUCUUUGCACAUUUGUUGGGUUUGCACGUUUACGGCUUGAUACGGGUUCAGCGAGUUGAUGACUACUCGAAUAUCUGAGCAUUUGUGCAAUUUGGAAGGUUUUACGAGUCUAUUUGAUAUCAAUGACGUCAGAAACGUUUUGUGAUGGGAGUAUGUGAUGAUAAUGUAUAUU
Hippocampus zosterae (dwarf seahorse) is the source of this 927-nucleotide long non-coding RNA. RefSeq lists it as uncharacterized. NCBI's taxonomy places the organism in Eukaryota, Metazoa, Chordata, Actinopteri, Syngnathiformes, Syngnathidae. The transcript has 3 exons. The record is from RefSeq and is a predicted model, not a curated record.